This 460-nucleotide ribosomal RNA is filed under the name uncultured bacterium. RNAcentral's name for it is "partial 16S ribosomal RNA". It matches the Rfam family "Bacterial small subunit ribosomal RNA", at positions 338 to 795 of the family's 1533-position model. The record is from RNAcentral.
CCUACGUGAGGCAGCAGUGAGGAAUAUUGGUCAAUGGACGAGAGUCUGAACCAGCCAAGUAGCGUGAAGGAUGACUGCCCUAUGGGUUGUAAACUUCUUUUAUAAAGGAAUAAAACGAGGCACGUGUGCCUUUUUGCAUGUCCUUUAUGAAUAAGGAUCGGCUAACUCCGCUCCAGCAGCCGCGGUAAUACGGAGGUUCCGAGCGUUAUCCGGAUUUAUUGGGUUUAAAGGGAGCGUAGAUGGGUUGUUAAGUCAGUUGUGAAAGUUUGGGGCUCAACCGUAAAAUUGCAUUUGAUACUGGCAAUCUUGAGUACAGUUGAGGUAGGCGGAAUUCGUGGUGUAGCGGUGAAAUGCUUAGAUAUCACGAAGAACCCCGAUGGCGAAGGCAGCUUACUAAACUGUAACUGACAUUGAUGCUCGAAAGUGUGGGUAUCAAACAGGAUUAGAUACCCCAGUAGUC